CUCCGGCGAAGUGUCAUUACUAUCUGUCUGGAAAGAAAUGUAAUGUUUUGCAUAAAUAAUGAGGCUGCUGGUGUUUGUCCUGAACGAACCUUUGAUUUCACUCCACGCCGCACUGGUGUAGAUGAAGAGAAAAUUACGUGUGGUGCUGGGGAGUUCAGAUUCAGGAUUGUCUGGUCCUUGAUGGACUUUAGGCUGUAAUCCUGUGACUUGGUAAACUUAGUUCUGAUGUAAUGAAGUGAUGCAAUGAUGUAGUGAACUAUGUUAAUCGUGAUGUAAUAAUGUGGUGCACUAAGUUAUAUUAUUGUUAUUAAGUAACUUGAUGGAUUAUAAGUAAUGAGUAGCGAACUAAGUUAUUAUAUAUUAUGCUGGCUUGUUAUACCAAAUUUGUUGGCUUAAUUUUUUGGCAUAAUUAAAGAAGAUUAGUGCACUUGGUGUUUUGUUAGACAUGUAUUAGGCGGAAAUACGAACAUUUGUCACUGUUAAGGGACAUUUCUACCAUAUUUAUCUGUGGUUUGUAUUGAUUGCUCAUGGUCACGUCUGUGUUAUCUAAAUGUCCUGAAAAUUUAAUUAUUUGGAAGAUGGCUUUGCAUUGUGUUUGGUUGCUGUUAUUCGGAACUAACUUCUGAAGCACAACCUGGGUUCAACGAGGAAGGCAGGAGACACCUUCAUGUUAUCAGUCCUGGACCACAUGUUUUUUGGGAAGGAGUGUAUUUCAUGAGAAAGUGGCUUCAUUUUUUGAUCCAUGUUGCCUGUUCAAGCCAAUACAAAAUCUGCUGGUACAUAAGAAAUUUGAGGAUCUUUACAAAAGAAACGAUCUUCAAGACACCAUGCCACCAGAGGUACUUUUUUUACCCAUGUUCUCUUUUAUAAACUGUGUUCGGUUCUGGGCUUCUGGCAAUGCUUCCACAUAUGCAUAUGUGGAUAUGCUAAUUGACGACAUCUGUGUUGAUUUUCUGCUAAAUCAAGUAUAUUACCUAGGGCAUACAUUUAUUUUCCCAGUAAAUCAAGUAUAUUACCUAGUGCCUUUCCUGUCAUACGCGAAUGUGAACAAUUCAUGAUUUUUACAGUAUAUGAUUUUGCUCUUAAGUUAUGUAUGAGUGUAAUCUCUUGUUCUAAAUAGUGUGUGAAGUUGGUGGUGACGACAAAUGCACUGGAAAAUGUUGGAAUUGCUAACUUGGAUACAUGGAUUUAGCACGAUGAGAGGAUAAAGGUCAGUAUGUUGUAAUAUAUGCCAUUUCAAUCUGAACUUCUGAAUGAUUGCCAUCUCUACCUCAAAAAACCGUUGGUUGUAACACUCUUGAUGGUUUGGCUCUACUAGCUGUUUUGAACGCAUUGACGAGCACCAAGAGGCAUGAUUCUCCUGACCAUAGUUUAAGAAACAAUCAACAUUUGAUCGAUUUUCUGUGAAUCAUUAUUUAAACAGCACAAAACAAAAGGUUCAUGCUGUCUUUUGUUCUUGCACACCUUGAGGGCAGUUAUGAAACCAGUGGACUGGUAACAAUUGAAGAUGGCAACUUCAAAUAAAGUGGAUUGGGAUCACGUAUCUUCAGGGCCAGUAAAUAAAUUUGGAGUUAUAGAACAUCAGAAUUAUAAUACGUUGAGCAUGAACUGAAAACCUGAAAUAGUAUAGAACAGAACAUCACAGCAAACCUGAGAUUGACAUUGGUUAAUGCUUUCUUCACGGCACUGCAACUUAUUUCCUCCCUGAUUUUGCUCCAAUCAAAUGGAAAACCAAGAGAAUGGACAAGAAAUUUUCUUUGGAACGUGGAUGAGGAGGCUAAGGGGAGGAAAUGUCCCGUGAAUUGGCGCUCUGUUUGCUCCCCCAAGAAUGCCGGUGGUUUGGGCAUCAAGGACACUGCUUGUGUUAGUAGAGCAUUGUACCUGCUUGUUUUAGUUUGGGCAUCAAGAUACCUUGGUCUGGCAGCCCUACCCCCUGUGAUAAUUAUUGAUAAAAGGCAUAAAGCUAUAUGUUCUCUGUUUGCACUGUUGCACACACAUUGAGCUUGGUGAUGCAGCUAAAGUGGGUUUUUGGAUGCCUCUUUCGGGUUGCCAGAAGAAUAUUACUGUCAAAGAAACUUUGGAACUAAAUGGUUGGAUGUGUGACAAAGUGUGGUCUGUUAAGUUGUCCAUGGGCCUGUAUGAUAUUCGAUGGCUACUAACGGCGGAUGGUCGCUUCGGCUGCCUUGCAUAUGGAUUUCACUUUGCUGCAAACUCCCCUCAACCACUGUUGGAUAGUGUUUGGAAACUGGAAAGUGAAGGCUGUGAGGAAUCACCCAUGGUCGACUUCUACUUGAUUUGGCCCGUCCUCUAGGGUUCCUCCCUCACUCCCCCCGCCGCCGCCNNNNNNNNNNNNNNNNNNNNNNNNNNNNNNNNNNNNNNNNNNNNNNNNNNNNNNNNNNNNNNNNNNNNNNNNNNNNNNNNNNNNNNNNNNNNNNNNNNNNNNNNNNNNNNNNNNNNNNNNNNNNNNNNNNNNNNNNNNNNNNNNNNNNNNNNNNNNNNNNNNNNNNNNNNNNNNNNNNNNNNNNNNNNNNNNNNNNNNNNNNNNNNNNNNNNNNNNNNNNNNNNNNNNNNNNNNNNNNNNNNNNNNNNNNNNNNNNNNNNNNNNNNNNNNNNNNNNNNNNNNNNNNNNNNNNNNNNNNNNNNNNNNNNNNNNNNNNNNNNNNNNNNNNNNNNNNNNNNNNNNNNNNNNNNNNNNNNNNNNNNNNNNNNNNNNNNNNNNNNNNNNNNNNNNNNAGCGCGCGCGGCUACCUGCCCGGGGCAUGGGCGGCGGCGGUGCUCCUCGGCUCGGCGGCAGUGGCCGGCGGCGCGUGAGGUGGUGGCGUGGCCCCUUGGCGGCGAGAAGGCGUGGUGGCGCUGGUUGGCCGGCGGCACGCCCCCAGCCCAGAUCUGGCCCUGCGGGUCCCAUCUGGGUCCUAGCGGGCCGGCUCCGCGGCGUGGCUUCAUCGUCGUCUGUGUGGUCUGGAGGAGGAGCAGCUCGAAUGGGGGCGGUGAUGCCGGCGGCGUGCCUGCUAGAGCGUGGUGGCAGGAGCUUUACGGGCGUGGAGGUCCCGGCCGGGCCUGUGGGCCCACGGGCCUGGUAUGCUCCUGCUACUGUGUCCGGUCGGCUACCAUCGUUGACAUUUUAACCCUAAAAAACUCAGGAUUUUAUUUAUUCAUUUUAUUUUGGGAAAUAUAUAAUUGAAAAUUAGUUUACAUAUACAUAUAUAAUGUGAAAUAAAGACAUAUUUCAUAUAUUUGAAUCGCUGGUUUGAACCAUCCCAAACAAGGUGUACCACGAUUAGCUACCGAGGCAAUAUAGAGGAACAAAGGCUACAUGAUAGACUAGCAAGGCAUGCGAUCGAAUUGGCAUCGUCGAUGUUGAACUAACACCGGUGGUCAGGGUGGCACCUAGAGGAGGGGAUGUUGGCGACGCAAGGGAAGGAGGGGCAGCGCCAUCUGAAUGGUGGAUGGAUGGAUGGGUGCAACAACCUCCGUGAGGGGAGAACUGAGAGUCGGGUGGUCUUGCGAAGAAGGCAACGUGUGUAGGGUUGAUAGCUCGGCAGUGAAGUUGUAAUCUGUCCUACUACGUGGCACAACAGGUUGGGGUCCGUCCGCAGGGACAGUGAGAGGAAGUGAAGAAGAGCUAAUGUCGAUAGGCCAAAACAAUUUAUGGGAUCAUGAAACUUUAUUCAGGGUUAUUAAGUGGUAGUUACACGAUCAUGUGGCAUUCUCAGCCCGACAUGACAGUUGAAACCUAAUGACAGAGAGGGUUUUGCUAAUCUAUCAGCUUCAAAGUUGUGGCUUCUACCUUCAUGACUGUAUUGCACACCUCAAAAUCAUUCGUACGCUGGGAAAUCUCUAGAACAAUAGCACCGUAGCGACCUCCUGCCCCUAUCUUGAAUGUCUUUUAUUGCUUACAAACAGUCUGACACAAUUAUUACCUUGCGCAACAUCCAAUCAUCAGCCAAGGCCAAAGCUUCUCGACACGCUAGGGCUUCCAGAACGGUAGGAUAGGUGAUGUUCUUGAAUGUGAUCGAGGACGAGCCUAGGAACUUGCUCUGAUCGGUGUGGCACAUGACUCCCACUACUCAACGGCCACCAUCGCUAUACACCGCACUGUCAACAUUAAAGCUUGCAAAACCCUCUAGAGGCGCUUUUCCAAAUAGCAUGUGAUUCAUUCAGAGCUCUAGGCCAUUCGGAUGGUGAUUUGUUCUGUUGGGUGCUCUGGAUGUCAUAGAUGAAGUUUUUGACUAAAAAGUGUGCUCAAAGAGACAACUGGAACUCUCCUUCAUGAAUUUAUUUGCGCCAAGCGUGCCAAAUUGCCCAUAAUGUGACUACCAUAUCAAUAAAAUCAUAAUGUGCCUAUGUCUCCAUCAUCAUAAAGAGCCAAUGUCUGGUGUGUGGCUCUCUCGUCUCAAUCAUGGGUUCUACUACUUGGUAAACAUUGAAUGUCUAGUGUGUCACUACCAUAUGAAAGAUUUCUUUUUUCAGUAUCACAUUGACUCAGUCAUUUCGAAACCAGGAAAAGAGCAAUGCCGACUCUCAUGUUUUUAUGGGAAGCUAAUAUGAGCCUAAGGUACAAGACCUGGACACCAUAAAACAUCUGCGAAGUGAGAGCACAAUACCUUGGGGUGUGCAUUGGUGACUUUAAUGAAGUUAUUUGACAAGAGAAGCUGUGGGGCACUAACAGGACAUAGGGUUUUACACUUCAUAGCAGCCUGGACCUAGGUAAAAUCAUCAUGUUACGUAGGUGGGAUUCGUUCCCCUCUUUGCCCCUCACCGAACCAAUAAGAGGAGCAUCCAAAGCUCCCUGGUGCUGUGCAGCAAGCCACGACACAUGUGUUGUUUUAAUGAAGUUGUCACGCUAUUUUAGUCUUCAACCAUGAAAGUUUUGCAUGUUCAUUUUGAUACAUGUCUGGAGAUUUUUUUCUUAAUGUAUGGCAUUUUGUGUUCAUUUUGCCUGGCGGAUCCUGUAGUCACUAUCCUCAUUGAUAGUUUCAGAUCCCAGGUGAUUUUUGUGGCUAUGCAUUGUCCUACUUUUGUCAUAAUGUACGGAUUAAUUUGAGAGAAAUUUNNNNNNNNNNNNNNNNNNNNNNNNNNNNNNNNNNNNNNNNNNNNNNNNNNNNNNNNNNNNNNNNNNNNNNNNNNNNNNNNNNNNNNNNNNNNNNNNNNNNNNNNNNNNNNNNNNNNNNNNNNNNNNNNNNNNNNNNNNNNNNNNNNNNNNNNNNNNNNNNNNNNNNNNNNNNNNNNNNNNNNNNNNNNNNNNNNNNNNNNNNNNNNNNNNNNNNNNNNNNNNNNNNNNNNNNNNNNNNNNNNNNNNNNNNNNNNNNNNNNNNNNNNNNNNNNNNNNNNNNNNNNNNNNNNNNNNNNNNNNNNNNNNNNNNNNNNNNNNNNNNNNNNNNNNNNNGUUUCAAACUUCAUGGCAAAAUUGCCAUGCCAUCAUGCAGGAGAGGCACAACAAUUUUUUUAUGGAAACAAUUCACAUGUAGGAACUCCCUGGUUAGUACUAGGGCACAUGUCAAUUAUAUAGCUAGAUAAAUGUAAAGCAUAUGGCAAAAUAUGAACCGUAUCUACCUAUAUGUCAAGGUUCACCAAUCCAUAAGAAUGACAAUUUGUUAUUUUAAUGUGUCCCAUGGCAUUUCUAAUAAUGUGUUCCAUGGCAAUUUCUUCUUUGUUAGUAACACUAAUACUACUGUGUCCGGUCGGCUACCGUCGUUGACGGUGGAGGUCGUGCCCUCCCGCGUGCCGACGGUGCUGCGGCCCCUAGCCCCGACUCCUAUUCUCCAUUGUGCAGGCCUCACUUUGUGGUGCCGUGGUGAGACGGCGUGGAGGCUUCAUGACCGCGGUGGCGCAAGAUGGUGGGUGGUCGGUUUGGUGGCAGGCUCUAGAGCAUCCGAGGUGAAGGUUGGGAUCGGGGGAAACUCCUGUCGGCCUGUCCGACACCGACGCGGCGAUGCCAGUGGGUGCUCCCGGACCUUCCUGGAGGGCGUCGGGGGUGACCCUUCCUCUCGCCUCGUUGCGUAUCGGGGGAAACCCUUGGCAGCAACGUCGUCAUCGUCGCGGUCCUUCUUGGAGGUGUUGAUUGGUACCGGUGCUUCAGAGCCUUGGAGCUUGGUGGGAGAUCUUCGGUGGGCGCAGUGGUCGUGAAGCUUCUUCGUUUCCGUUAAUCCGCCAUUGUCGGCAUUUUUUCUCUUUCGUUUCUUUUGGGUGUGAUUGUGCUGCUUCUGCCCAACACCUAUCGUUGGCUGUAUCGAUUGGUUGCUUUGUAAUACAAAGCGGGGGAAAACCCUUUUUCUUAAAAGUGAAGGCUGAGCCCAAAAUUAAAUUUUACUUGCGGCUUCUAUUGAAGAAUGGCACCUCUUCUGUCCUAUGUGAUCAGGUUCCUGAAUCUGCUACUCAACUGACGUUUAACUGCUCCUUCGCUCGCCACCUCUUCUGUCCCUCUGACAAUAAGGUGGCUACCGUCGGAUUUCGUGCUGUCACAAUCAAAGUUUGGUGGCACAAAUCUUCCUCCCUGAGCAAGUUUGCUGUCUUGAAGAAGCAAGACACUGCUGCUGAUUACAUAUCGUAGAAUCACUACCCCAAACAGACUUUUUCGUGACGGCCAGACACGUUCGUGACGGGCGCGAAACCUCCUUCAGGAAUGUGUACGUGUUCCUGACGUGGAUGGUCAACCGAGGGGAAAGAUCGUUACGUUCCUGACGCUCUCAGCAAUAACCUUCAGGAAUGAGAAUAACCUUCAGGAACGCAGUUGCACGUUCGCGUCGGGACACUAUCCACGUCGCGAAUCACUUUGCACACCUUCAGGAACGUAUAUGUGACCGUCAGGAAGAUACCUAUGCGGGACCCGGAGAUAUUUUCGCUUUUGAGGCGCGUGAUAUUUUCGUUUGGAGAGUGAAAAGCGCGCUGAAAUUUCGUUCCCAGGGUGUAUUUCGUGCGACUUGCGCUCUCAACAGGAGGGCUUGGUCAAAACACAGGAGGGCUUGGUCAAAAUACCUAGAACUCGAUCCACUUUUCCCCAUCGAGAUACUCCUCCCACUCCCCCGUCCAGCGCCGCCACCUCCCCCGUCCAGCGCCGCCACUUCCCCCGUACCGGCCGUCCAGUUCCGAUCGGCCGCCCCCCCUAGCCGUCGAGCGCCGCCCACAUCGCCGUCGAGCGCCAUCCCCCUCGUCGUCGAGCGCCACCCCAACUCGCCGGCGACGUCCAGAUCCGCCUCCCUGGCCGGCGAUUUCCAGAUCCGCCUCCCUCCCCGUGCAGAGGUGACUCCCUGCCCGUCCAGGCCCUCUUUCUCAUCUUCCCUACCCAAUCUGGCUGUUGUAUCAAAUAGUUUAGAUGUGCUGCACAGCUACAAAAAAAUCUAUUUCAUUCUUAAUUCUGAAUAUGUAACUUUUGUGCAUUUUAUGUCCAUGCAAAGAACUUCUGUAUGUUGAAAAAAAAUGCUAUUUACGAUUGAAAAUUAGUUUCAAAUCUGUGUACAGUGGUACAUUUUUCCUUUUUAGUUAACAAUUUCAUUUUGUACUUAAACGAUGUUGAUUGAGUAAUCUUGUAGUACUUGUGAUAAAUUCGCUAUGUUUCUGCAGUGGCUCAUUAUCAUUUAUUCAGACCAAAAGCGUGUUGGUAAGUUGCAUUCAGUUUCAUUUGACCUCCCAGUAUGGGUAGUUUGUUGAAAAAACAUGUUCCCUUAUGUAGGGAAAGAUGUAUGGCCCUGCAGAAUGAGUUAGAAAUUAUGCUUCUAUAUAAUGUGGUGGAUUAUGGAUCACUAAUGUAAUUUGUGUUCUCAGAUAUUUCUUUUUGGAGGUCAAGUAUGGAUUAUGGAUUAUGGAUUACUAAUGUAAUUUGUGGUGGAUUAGGGAAAGAUAUAUUGCUAUCCCUAACCACCUGAGAACAGAAUAGAAGAUGUCUUUCAUGUAUAUUUUGACUAACCACCUGAGAAUGAUUAUUUGUUCUCGUACAUGUUUUCUUUCCUUGUAGAUAAUUGAUAGAACAUUUAUUCAUUUAGCAUUUAGAGCCUUUUUGCAGCACAAUUUAAACUUUUACCUCCUCUCCAAUGACGACGCUGCUCUUCCCCAACGACAGCUUGCUGCUGAACUCUGUCAACACCUGCUGCUAAUCGUCUCUUGCAUCUACAUGUUCCUGUUCUUCUCCAUCUUCAAAGCCACGUCUUAGACUGCUGCAACACCAAGCUCCAGAAGCCAAAUUUAUGUUCUGUACUCCAUUAUCUCACCUCUUCCCUCGCUGAUUUCUUGAACCCCUUGCUUGUUCAGUUAGUGUGAUGUCUGUUCCUUUAUGCUUCCAAUUGAGAUGAUCUAGUUCUAGUUUUAUCACCUUAGUAUUUCAAUUAUUUGCUCCUUUGCAAGACUGAAGAUCCGAUGCUCUGUUAGAUUUAAAUUUCUUGUUCAACUUAAGAGAAAAUGUUAGUGUCCUGUUGAUUGUGUUCCAGCAUGAACUCGUUCCGAACCUCACCUACUGCCGUUUUAUUCUAUAUCGAGUUUUGUCCAAGUUUUGAGUGUUGGUUGUUUGUUAGAAGAGCAUCUUCUCUUAUGUAGGAAAAGAAGAAUGGCCUAUGGCAGCAACAAAGAUGAACACUUGCAAGUUCAUGAAGUUGGAAGUUUGCAAAUGUGGUUGAGAGUGGAGAUUGUGGCCCCAUCAAUAAUAUAAUGUUCAAAAGUGUCUUGUAAGUUCCUGCACCUUUGCUCUUUAUUCAAAACUACGACAAAUGUUAAUCUAAAAUGUAACAUUUUUGUUUUUCAAUAAAUUGUUUGUUCCAUGAUCAGUACAGUUGUAUUAUAAUGAUGGCAUCCUUUGCAUUUCUCUUGAACUUGUGUACACAAACAUAGAAGUAGAACAGCAAAAGGUUGUCAGUGCAUUAGCUUCACCCUGCUGCUCCAAUAACACUUAUACUACACGAUGUAUAUACCUCUAAACUUGCAUUUAUGAGUAUGUCCCCAGUUAUUCUAAUUUUCUUCACAAAUACAGCUUCUGAGUAGAAAUCGUUGUAGAUACUUGGGGCCACCAUUCUCCUCACCAGACCCUUGGGUGGGCGAAGGCCCUCAAGCACCUCCACUUGAACUUCUGGUGAGUAAGUCUGUAAGGAACCACCCCAGGACAGUUCUAGUCAUAUUAGUCUUUUCUUAUCAGCUAGCUUUGCAUCGCCCGCCUCCUUGUUUUUAACAUUUUCAAGAUGAUGAAUUUUUGGAUUGCCUUGCAGCUUGUUUAGGCUCUCCAACUGUUUUAGCUCAUGCCAAUGUUCCGUCCUUACUUGAAAUACAUCAAGUUCUUUUAGUGAUGCUAAACUGCUGAUGUUCAGAACUUGCAUCGCAAAGCUAUAAAUAUGCUGCUUACUGCUAGUUUUCUACAUGUAGUGCUAGUUCUGUACAUGCAGUUUAGUGUUCCGCAUACUUAGAUUUUUCCUAUGAAGUGAUGAUUUUGUUUGCUAUCAUGUAAAGUUGUGAAGGGGGUUGGUCAUCACAAAAUUUCAUUUGCCAUGAAUACUAUGGAUAUAGGUCAUUGGAUUGCAACCAUUUAUUUUUUUCUUCCCUUUUCUUUUCUUUUGUUCAUUAUGUUCCGGUUACAAUUUAAAUAAUUGCAGCCUGUACUUGGCAAUAAGAGAAGUCUUCUUCACUUGCUUGGUGGCUAGCAACAAGUGUGUCAUGAGCUGGAGCUUACCUUUUGGUUUGAAAACCUGUAUGUAUAACAGUUUUGCCUUUCACCGUUGUUCAUUGAAAUCUCCUAUAUUUUUCUGUCGUAUAGGUGAAUGGAACCUUCCAAGCCCACGUGAAUGCUGAUACUCCGUUGGCAGAAUGUUCCCAUGAUGAAGACAAUCCUCAUGCUACUCAUGCGGAUGAGCAUAGUUCUAUUCCAACACAGGACAAACAUUUAGGAAUUCCAGUAGUAUAGCUAGUUAAUAUUGUGAACUGCAGUGCAGUUAGGCUUUCUUUGUCAAUUGCUUCUCCUGGCAAUUUAGGAAUCAACUAGUAUGCGUGUUUUGGACUUGGUGACACCUCCUGUUAAGUCAAGCUUCCAUGAAUCAUGACUUGGAUAUGAAUGUGUGGAUCUUGUGAACAAUGAGAUUUAAAUAAAUUGGAUGGGUACAUUGUGACCUAGGAAUUGGUUGUGAUUUUAAACCGGGUCGUGUGACCUUUGUGUACGCAUGAUUGUCAAAAGAUUUGCAUGUGGCUGUGAAUAUAUACUGUUUUCCAAUAAUAUUUUUGGUUUGUCUUGGUUGAUUCCUGACGACUGUUUUCAUACUUUCCUGACGAAGCUAGCCGUCAUGGAUAUAUGUUGAGCUCAUUCCUGAAGGUAUGGUCCUGAGAGCCACAGAAGAUGUUCCUGACGGUAUCUCCUGACGGUGGGGCCGUCAGGAAUUUGAGUUUGGGAGGCGAGGGGCUCCCCUCAGGAAUUGCCGUCAGGAACACUAUUCGUGACGGGGACCGUCAGGAACAAUCCUCUUUCCUGACAAGCUGUUUCUGACGGGAAAUUCCUGACGGCAGGGGCUCAUUCCUGACGAAAACUGUUGAUUCCUGACGGAUUUUGGCCGUCAGGAAAAAGUCAGUUUGGGGUAGUGAAUCUAUGGAAAGGGAGGAACUGCCGAUCUUUUGAGGACGUGAGUGCAGACGCUGAGGUUGUAGACAGUGUAUGGCUUAUGCUUAUAGUCCGAGGUAGCGUCCUCCAAAGCAUGGUUGGCUCCCUUUGAUGCUUCAGAGCAAACUUUGAUGGUUAGCAUUGCCGAUGACCCUGAGUCUGAAACUUGUUUGCUCGUGAGACAUGUUCAACUGAAUUUGGAAACAUGUGAUCAAUGAAGGUUUCAGUCAAGGCAUUAUCCAAAUGCAAGCAGAGAUGUUCAUCUUGAAUGAUGGCGCUUAAUUUUCCUAAACAGUCAAUACAUUGUCCUUAUAUUAACUAGCAUUCUUCUUCCAGUCUCAGCAUGACAUAGGACGCCGCUCGAGCAUUGUCUAACUAUAAGAAGUUAAAAGAAUCACGCGACGCGCCCCAACCUCUGAAUCUUCCAUGGAGCUUGAAGGGAAGCCUGAGGCCAGUAUUACAUGGUUGCUUCUGGGCUUGCAUUGUGUUUAAAUGUUAGUUUAUGUUGCACUGACAUGAUGUUAACUUCACUAUUUUUGUAGGCAUUAUAUACAAUUUUUCUGCUCAUUUGUACUUGAUGCAUUUGCCAAACAGUUGUCUGGUCCUGCUAUUUCUUUUUACCUAAAUGUUAGAAGGCUGAUGUCAGAUUUUUAAGGAGUCGGAGCGAACGACCUCGUGCAUGUCGGGUCCCACGCACCAAUCCUGAAGUGUUCACUGCAAAUACAUCCUUUGAGCAAACUACAAGGUGUUGGCACUAAGCACUAAUUGGUUCGCUCAGGAUGUCAAUAUGAGCGAACACAUUCACAGACGAUGAUAAUUUAUGUUUUUAGAGCAUGUCAAUUAUCACCUUUUUCCGUUGAUGUAGCAUGACGAUUUCAUUCAGCUAGUAUGGCAAUUCCUGAAUGGCAAUUUUUAGUUUACAACAUGGCAACUCCUUAUACAAAAUCACAUUUUUUGAGCAUUCGCUUAAAGUUUUUUCAAUGAACGAAAAUGUUUGCUUGUUCGUGUGACAUCUAGGCUUAAGAAAAUGAUAUAUUACUCAUAUCAACAAGGUACACCUGCUUUUUAGGGCGCCAUCCGAAAGAAACAUCCAAAUUUAGUGCGUGCACGAGUGAGGAAACACAACUAAAGGGUCGUUACUAAACCCUCCCCCUUUAGUCCCAGUUCUUAUACGAACAGGGACUAAAGGCCCUCCACGUGGCCGCUGCCUGGAGGUCCACAUUUAGUCCCGGUUGAUAACACUAACCGGUACUAAAGGAAAUUUUAUGAUUUUUUUAUUUUUUUUAUUUUCAAAUUUCUGAAUUAUUUUAACCUCUAAUCUCUAAUCAACCCUCAUCACUGCUCAAUUUAACCUCUAAUAUCUAUUCACCCCUCAUCAUUCCAAAUCAUCUAACUUCUCGGACGGUCACCCAUCCUCUCAUUACUCCAGUCUGAGCACGCUUAACUUCAGGGUUCUAUAUUUCCUCGUUUCCAAGUUGUUUUCCUGACAAUAGUAAGAUGUCAAUCCUAUUAACCCUCAGGAAUUUAGCUUGAGCAUGAAGUCACACAUUUCAUUGUUUGAGUUUGAAACUAUUGUUCUAAAAAACAAUAAUUAUUUAGUAACACUAAUAUUUCUUGAAUAAGUAGUUUGACCACAAUUUGACCAUAGUUUGACCAAUGUUUGACCAGAUUUGACCAAAAUACAAAAAAACUGAAAUAAUUAUUUAGUAACACUAAUAUUUUUUAAUAAGUAGUUUGACCAUUGUUUGACCACAGUUUGACCAUAUUUGACCAAAAUUCAAAAAAACUGAAAUAAUUAUUUAGUAACACUAAUAUUCUUGAAUAAUUAGUUAGUAACACUAAUACUUCUUGAAUAAGUAGUUUGACCAGAUUUAACAAAAAUUCAAAAAAAUUGAAAUUUGAGCAUAACUUUUUUUCCUUUUAGAAUUUGAGGAUUCUAAAAAUUUGCAAACAGGCCACCUUGAUCUGAUGAUAACCAGAAUAAGCAUCUAAAAAGCUCAAACGCUCACAACUCGCCGUAGCAUCAAUGAUCUGAUCAAUAUGGGGAAGAGCAAAAGGAUCAGCUGAGCAAAGCUUUGUUAAGGUCUGUGUAAAUCCACACACAUACGCCAAAGUGCCAUUUUUCUUAAGUACUAGCACCGGAUUAGCUAACCACUCAGAAAGAAAAACUUCAACAAUGAACCCGGUUGCCAAGAGGGCCACCUCUUCUCCAAUGGCCAUGCCUCUCCUUAUUAAAACAAUGAAGAAAUUGUUUGACCGACUUAAACUUAGGAUCAAUAUUGAGAGUGUGCUCAGCGAGUUUCCUAGGUACACCUGGCAUGUCUGAAGGCUUCCAUGCAAAGAUGUCCUGGAUCUCAUGGAUGAACUCGAUGAGCGCGUUUCCUAUUUCGGAAAGUGCUAUGCUAGUUUCUUAUGUUGCAGAUCAUGAACUUUGUAAGAUCAAUUCUUGUAAUGUUGAACCCACCAGUCUAUCUUUAAGACUGCUUUUAAGUUUCAUUUUGUGCAAAUUUUCACUCUCUAUGUUAAUGUUUAGUUGCCCGGUCAAUGCAAGUAAAACAAACUGCUACCAAAUUAUAGGCAAACAAACAAAAUGUUGCCAAAAUUCAUUUCCAUUCAAACAAAUACAUGUCAUAUACAAUUGGAUACAUCAAGCAUGCACCACACUUUAUUCAUUCUCAUUCCCUACUACAGGAUCACUUCUUAAAAACUACAUGCACUAUUAUUGCAACCAAUACAACAAAAUGCACUGAAAAUACUCCUAUAUAGGAAAAUAAGCUCAUUUACUAUCAAAAGUGCUUUGCAUUUAUUGCUUCAUAGUCUUCUUCCUACUAUAUUUGUUCACUAGCACUGACACUAGCCAAAUCAACACUGCUCAGUGUGCCUAGUUCCAAACAAGACAUCCUUGUAGUUGUCUGGUCUAUCUUUCCAAGUAGUAGUGUUGGCAAAGAUUUGAUUAAGCCUGUCACACAAUUUCACACAUGUGAGAAAACACACGGAAAAGAGAUCAAAAUCGAGCAAAAAAUGGAAUCUUACACAAUGAUUAGGGGUACUUGUAGAAAACCCUCCUAGGAUUUUGCGUCUAAUUUUGACACAAGAUGAAUCGUUGACCGAAUUCGGCAGCAAUGGCAUGCCACCAACGACAGUCUCCCCGUUGGUUGCGGCAGUGGAAGUGACGCUUGCACAACCUUCUUCCUGGGGCGCUUCCUAGUAGACGAGCCUGAGGCGGCCGACAUGGCGAUGGAGCAACCAUGGCGAGAGAGAGAGAGAGAAGACCUAGGGACCGGGGAAUGAAAAGAAUCAAUGCUACAAAGGGCCGCAUUGCAUAAAUGCCCAAUCGUUAGCCUCGGGAAAUCUCCCGCCUGGGCCCUCCAGACGGCGUGGCUGGGGUCAAAGUGCCACGCAGGCUGGUCAGCGCUGAUGAGAGAGAAUUAGAAUCUGAGAUGGACGACUUAAAAAGAUUUAGGACCCAGACUUGCAUUUUCAAAGUAUUGGGACUCAGUUGGCAAUUCAACGAAAGAAUUAGGACCGCCUAUGCAUUUUACUCUUUAAGUUUUUCUAGACAAAUUUACUCUUUAAGUUUUUUUUUUGAGGCAAUUUUACUCUUUCAGUUAACUUUUUUUUGUGAGAAACUCUUUAAGUUAACUUUUUUGGGCUACCUCUUUAAGUUAAGUUUCUUUAGGGGUAACUUAAUUUAAGUUUUUUUUGAGGGGUAACUCUUUAGGUUAGGUUUUUUUAGAAUCAACUCUUUAAGUUAUUUUUUGUUUUGUUUUGUUUUUGAUAAUCAACUCUUUAAUUUAAGUUAACUCUUUAAUAAGUUCAGUUAAAAGAAAUCUUUAAUAAGUUAAGUUUUUUUUGAUAAUUUAAUACUCCCUCCAUUCCUAAAUAUAAGUGUUUUUAGAGAUUGCACUACGAACUACAUACAGAUGUAUAUAGACAUUUUUUAGAGUGUAGAUUCACUCAUUCUUACUUUGUAUGUAGUCCUAGUGAAAUCUCUUUAAAGACUUAUAUUUAGAAACGGGGUGGUAAGUUAAGUUUUUUAGCAGCAUUUAAUAAGUUAUGUUUUUUUUGAAGAAUUUAGUAAGUUAAGUUUUUCUAGAAGAAUUUAACAAGUUAAGUUUUUUUAGAAGUAGGAAUAUUUUUUUUUUGCGUUCAAGAAGUAGGAGUAUUUAAUAUGUUAAGUAAGUAUAGAGAUAAAGAGGUUGCUUUGCCUUGGCCCAACAAGUGGCACCGGUACCCGCUGAUAAGUCACCUGGGCCUUAGCCCAGCCCAAAGCACUAGCAGCAUAAGAAUCAACAAAGAGGAAAGGGGUCGACAGCGGCGAUGUUAGGAUUUGCUCGGAGGCGGCGGCGAGUAAGGAUUCAUUCAUCAUGGCGUCUGUAGAGCAGUUGGAGUCGGAGGAGGAGGUGGAGGGCUUCGAGCCUUUCUUCUAUGACAGUGAGGAUUGGGAUGCCUGGGCGGAGGAGGAGGCGGAGAGGCGCCGGCGGGAGGAAGAGGAGAAGGCGCGGAGGACGGAGGAGAACCGGCGGAGACGCGAGGCACACGAUGCGGUCAUGGACUCCAUCAUCCAGCACGAUCCCAAGGUGGGGCGCGACGUCUACACCCGAUUCUUUCUCAGAGAUUUCUCCGUCUUUGACAUCAACGAAGAGUGUAAGUGGCCUCUCCGUUUCUGAAGCCGGUGUAGUACUCUUCUCUUUUGGCUUUAUAUUUGUAGAAUUGUCUGAUUGACAGUAUGCAUGGGAACUGAAUUAGUACGUUUCACCUGCAUAAUCCUCUGUUAGGAGAAUCCUCUGACAUGCCAUGUUCAUUAUUGAUGCAUAGCAGUAAACAGCAAAUCUCAGUCCGUUUACUAGAUUGGAUCUAGUUUCAAUUAACAACAGGAACUCACUGAUUUGGCUAAAACUGAAAUUGACUUUCUACAGAUGGUGAGAUGAUAGUUUCCUCUUGAAGUUAACAGCGAAUCUCAUUUCAUUUACUUAGAUUUGAUUCAUAUGUAUAUCACUUAACAACAGAAGUCACUGAUUUUGCUAAAAUUGAAAUUAACUUGGUUCGAAUGGUGAGAUGAUAGCUUUCUCUUGUAGUUAACUCGCAAGUCAAAAUAAGAAUAUUAGAUGGUUUAACUCAGUGGGAUAUAAACGGGAAAAACACAAACUGGGCCUUUUUAUUGUGAUGAAAUAAUCUGACAGAUAUAUUUUGUUUAUUCGUCGCAGCGUCUGUCCCUCCAAUGCGAUACACCGAUAGUAUCUACCAAGAUGAAUUUGGGCUAGAAGACUCUGCAAACAUCCUCUCUGUCAGCAUAGUCUCCUCAGAUGUAGGCUUCCCAGUCAAUGUCUAUGGCCGUGUCAUUGCCAGAGACAGCAUUGACUACAAGUGCAUUUAUCUCUUUCACCGCAAUAGAGAUGAUUGCCAGCAUCUCAACAAGGUACAUCCUUGCUUCUAAGUUUGUUCCAAUCGGGUUUCAUUUUAUUCCAUGGUGCAUUUAAUAUCAACUGUUAAUUGGCAUCUAAAUGGAGUCAUCUUAGUGCUGGUGGUUGUCGAUCCAGACAGUCAUCUGCAUAUAAAUGGAGUAGCUUUUAUGGCAUGCUUCCAAUCUUCAUUUUGAGCAGUGUUUGGAUGAGCAUACUCUAACCUCUCGUGCAAUUCUUUUCAUAGGAUGGAAUGCUGAUUUUAACUGGCCCAUAUCGAGGUCCAGUGCUGGUUGAUUUCAUCUAUCUAGAGAUAGAUCUUAAAAUAAGGGAAGAAGGAGUUCCAGACAGGCCAUUUAGCAAGGGUCUAAUAAGCAUUGAUGGCCGAGUACUGUCUAGAGAGAAAGAUGUCAUGGUUAGAAGUGAAACACUUGAGAGCUGGCUCAGCACUACGGAAGUGAGAUUCACAACUGUCCUGGAUGCAGUCGAGUGCACCUUUGAAAUCAAGCUCAUUGAGGGGCUUUUUAAAGGAAAUAUAACAGUUGGCAUCGUGGAUAAAGCUCGCAAGCUGGACAAUGAACAAACGAUUGUGAUUCAUGAUAGCACAGCAGAUGGCGUGGUUACAAGUGAUGAAAGUGGAGUUAUCAAACUCCGGCGAAGUGUCAUUACUAUCUGUCUGGAAAGAAAUGUAAUGUUUUGCAUAAAUAAUGAGGCUGCUGGUGUUUGUCCUGAACGAACCUUUGAUUUCACUCCACGCCGCACUGGUGUAGAUGAAGAGAAAAUUACGUGUGGUGCUGGGGAGUUCGGAUUCAGGAUUGUCUGGUCCUUGAUGGACUUUAGGCUGUAAUCCUGUCACUUGGUAAACUUAGUUCUGAUGUAAUGAAGUGAUGCAAUGAUGCAGUGAACUAUGUUAAUCGUGAUGUAAUAAUGUGGUGCACUAAGUUAUAUUAUUGUUAUUAAGUAACUUGAUGGAUUAUAAGUAAUGAGUAGCGAACUAAGUUAUUAUAUAGUAUUAUGCUGGCUUGUUAUACCAAAUUUGUUGGCUUAAUUUUUUGGCAUAAUUAAAGAAGAUUAGUGCACUUGGCGUUUUGUUAGACAUGUAUUAGGCGGAAAUGCGAGCAUUUGUCACUGUUAACGGACAUUUCUACCAUAUUUAUCUGUGGUUUGUAUUGAUUGCUCAUGGU
RNAcentral lists this long non-coding RNA (17147 nucleotides) under Triticum aestivum (bread wheat). RNAcentral's name for it is "long non-coding RNA (TAES_LNC021745)". The record is from RNAcentral. Lineage: Eukaryota; Viridiplantae; Streptophyta; Magnoliopsida; Poales; Poaceae.